Molecule: long non-coding RNA, 657 nt
Filed under: Gallus gallus (chicken)
Lineage: Eukaryota; Metazoa; Chordata; Aves; Galliformes; Phasianidae
Description: lncRNA (ENSGALG00010028967.1)
Source: RNAcentral
ACAGAGAAGGUCUUGUGGGGGAUGUCAAGGCUGGAGGCCGCCUGGGGCAAAGGGAUCGUGAGAUGCUAGAUUUCUCAAUCCUUGUUGAACCACGGAGGGGAGUCAGCAGAACUGCCACCUUGGACUUCCAGAGAGCAAACUCGAACCUCUUUAGGACCAUGGUUGAGAGGGUCCCUUGGGAAGUACUUUUGGAGGGCGUGGGAGCCCAGGAAGGCUGGCAAUACUUUCCAGAAGUAAUUUUAAAGGUGCAGGAGCUGACCAUCCCCAGGUCAUGGAAGAUGAGCUGAUGGGCAAGGAGGCUGGACUGGCUGAACAGAGACCUUCCACUGGAACUCAAGAGCAAAAUGAAAGAUUAUGGUCUGUGGAAGAGUGGGCAAGCUACUUAUGAUGAUUACAGCUCUGCAGCUCGGACAUCAUCUUUACACUCAGCUGUUCCUGGGCAUAAUGCUCCACACAAUGACCCUGCAGAGCCCAAAGGCCUGCCUGCCUGCUGUCACUCACCUGGAGGUUGCAGGGUGCUGUGCCUCCUGGCUGGACCUGCUGCUGCUAGAUGGCACUUGCAAGACACUGAGAGCCCACCUGCUUGGAACUGCAGGCAACAAACACAAACGAGAAAGAAGGAAGAAAGGAUUCUUGGAUUUCACAGGCUUCCACAGG